RNAcentral lists this ribosomal RNA (406 nucleotides) under uncultured bacterium. RNAcentral's name for it is "partial 16S ribosomal RNA". It matches the Rfam family "Bacterial small subunit ribosomal RNA", at positions 29 to 526 of the family's 1533-position model. The record is from RNAcentral.
AUUGAACGCUGGCGGCAGGCCUAACACAUGCAAGUCGGGCGAGGGGCGGACGGGUGAGGAAUGUAUGGGAAACUGCCUGAUGGAGGGGGAUAACGACGGGAAACGGUAGCUAAUACCGCAUACCAUCAGAAGGGCCCAUAGGGGAUUAGCUUGUAGGGGGGGUAACGGCGCACCUAGGCGAAGAUCCCUAGCUGGUCUGAGAGGAUGACCAGCCACACUGGGACUGAGACACGGCCCAGACUCCUACGGUAGGCAGCAGUGGGGAAUAUUUCACAAUGGGCGCAAGCCUGAUGCAGCCAUGCCGCGUGUAUGAAGAAGGCCUUCGGGUUGUAAAGUACUUUCAGUCGGGAGGCGUUACCUACAGAAGAAGCACCGGCUAACUCCGUGCCAGCAGCCGCGGUAAUUC